RNAcentral lists this ribosomal RNA (465 nucleotides) under uncultured Klebsiella sp. Its description in RNAcentral is "bacterial SSU rRNA". It matches the Rfam family "Bacterial small subunit ribosomal RNA", at positions 338 to 795 of the family's 1533-position model. Lineage: Bacteria; Pseudomonadati; Pseudomonadota; Gammaproteobacteria; Enterobacterales; Enterobacteriaceae. The record is from RNAcentral.
CCUACGGGUGGCUGCAGUGGGGAAUAUUGCACAAUGGGCGCAAGCCUGAUGCAGCCAUGCCGCGUGUGUGAAGAAGGCCUUCGGGUUGUAAAGCACUUUCAGCGGGGAGGAAGGCGGUGAGGUUAAUAACCUCAUCGAUUGACGUUACCCGCAGAAGAAGCACCGGCUAACUCCGUGCCAGCAGCCGCAGUAAUACGGAGGGUGCAAGCGUUAAUCGGAAUUACUGGGCGUAAAGCGCACGCAGGCGGUCUGUCAAGUCGGAUGUGAAAUCCCCGGGCUCAACCUGGGAACUGCAUUCGAAACUGGCAGGCUAGAGUCUUGUAGAGGGGGGUAGAAUUCCAGGUGUAGCGGUGAAAUGCGUAGAGAUCUGGAGGAAUACCGGUGGCGAAGGCGGCCCCCUGGACAAAGACUGACGCUCAGGUGCGAAAGCGUGGGGAGCAAACAGGAUUAGAUACCCUAGUAGUC